GGUAACAGGAAGCAGCUUGCUGCUUCGCUGACGAGUGGCGGACGGGUGAGUAAUGUCUGGGAAGCUGCCUGAUGGAGGGGGAUAACUACUGGAAACGGUAGCUAAUACCGCAUAAUGUCGCAAGACCAAAGAGGGGGACCUUCGGGCCUCUUGCCAUCGGAUGUGCCCAGAUGGGAUUAGCUUGUUGGUGGGGUAACGGCUCACCAAGGCGACGAUCCCUAGCUGGUCUGAGAGGAUGACCAGCCACACUGGAACUGAGACACGGUCCAGACUCCUACGGGAGGCAGCAGUGGGGAAUAUUGCACAAUGGGCGCAAGCCUGAUGCAGCCAUGCCGCGUGUAUGAAGAAGGCCUUCGGGUUGUAAAGUACUUUCAGCGGGGAGGAAGGGAGUAAAGUUAAUACCUUUGCUCAUUGACGUUACCCGCAGAAGAAGCACCGGCUAACUCCGUGCCAGCAGCCGCGGUAAUACGGAGGGUGCAAGCGUUAAUCGGAAUUACUGGGCGUAAAGCGCACGCAGGCGGUUUGUUAAGUCAGAUGUGAAAUCCCCGGGCUCAACCUGGGAACUGCAUCUGAUACUGGCAAGCUUGAGUCUCGUAGAGGGGGGUAGAAUUCCAGGUGUAGCGGUGAAAUGCGUAGAGAUCUGGAGGAAUACCGGUGGCGA
Molecule: ribosomal RNA, 661 nt
Filed under: uncultured Pseudomonadota bacterium
Lineage: Bacteria; Pseudomonadati; Pseudomonadota
Description: bacterial SSU rRNA
Rfam family: Bacterial small subunit ribosomal RNA
Source: RNAcentral